RNAcentral lists this ribosomal RNA (459 nucleotides) under uncultured bacterium. RNAcentral describes it as "partial 16S ribosomal RNA". It matches the Rfam family "Bacterial small subunit ribosomal RNA", at positions 338 to 795 of the family's 1533-position model. The record is from RNAcentral.
CCUACGGGAGGCUGCAGUGAGGAAUAUUGGUCAAUGGGCGCGAGCCUGAACCAGCCAAGUCGCGUGAGGGAAGAAGGUCCUAUGGAUUGUACACCUCUUUUGUCGGGGAGCAAAAGACGCCCCGCGUGGCGUUCCGAGAGUACCCGAAGAAAAAGCAUCGGCAAACUCCGUGCCAGCAGCCGCGGUAAUACGGAGGAUGCGCGGGUUAUCCGGAUUUAUUGGGUUUAAAGGGUGCGCAGGCGGAAUGUCAAGUCAGCGGUAAAAUUGAGAGGCUCAACCUCUUCGAGCCGUUGAAACUGGUUUUCUUGAGUGGGCGAGAGGUAUGCGGAAUGCGUGGUGUAGCGGUGAAAUGCAUAGAUAUCACGCAGAACUCCGAUUGCGAAGGCAGCAUACCGGCGCUCAACUGACGCUCAUGCACGAAAGUGUGGGUAUCGAACAGGAUUAGAUACCCUGGUAGUC